RNAcentral lists this ribosomal RNA (301 nucleotides) under uncultured bacterium. Its description in RNAcentral is "partial 16S ribosomal RNA". It matches the Rfam family "Bacterial small subunit ribosomal RNA", at positions 509 to 809 of the family's 1533-position model. The record is from RNAcentral.
CAGCCGCCGCGGGAAUACGAAGGGGGCUAGCGUUGUUCGGAUUUACUGGGCGUAAAGCGCACGUAGGCGGAUCCUUAAGUCAGAGGUGGAAUCCCAAGGCUCAACCUUGGAACUGCCUUUGAUACUGGGGAUCUCGAGUUCGGGAGAGGUGAGUGGAACUGCGAGUGUAGAGGUGAAAUUCGUAGUUAUUCGCAAGAACACCAGUGGCGAAGGCGGCUCACUGGCCCGACACUGACGCUGAGGUGCGAAAGCGUGGGGAGCAAACAGGAUUAGAGACCCCCGUAGUCCCUGUCUCUUAUAA